CUAUAAUGCAGUCGAGCGGACAGAAGGGAGCUUGCUCCCGGAUGUUAGCGGCGGACGGGUGAGUAACACGUGGGUAACCUGCCUGUAAGACUGGGAUAACUCCGGGAAACCGGAGCUAAUACCGGAUAGUUCCUUGAACCGCAUGGUUCAAGGAUGAAAGACGGUUUCGGCUGUCACUUACAGAUGGACCCGCGGCGCAUUAGCUAGUUGGUGAGGUAACGGCUCACCAAGGCGACGAUGCGUAGCCGACCUGAGAGGGUGAUCGGCCACACUGGGACUGAGACACGGCCCAGACUCCUACGGGAGGCAGCAGUAGGGAAUCUUCCGCAAUGGACGAAAGUCUGACGGAGCAACGCCGCGUGAGUGAUGAAGGUUUUCGGAUCGUAAAGCUCUGUUGUUAGGGAAGAACAAGUGCAAGAGUAACUGCUUGCACCUUGACGGUACCUAACCAGAAAGCCACGGCUAACUACGUGCCAGCAGCCGCGGUAAUACGUAGGUGGCAAGCGUUGUCCGGAAUUAUUGGGCGUAAAGGGCUCGCAGGCGGUUUCUUAAGUCUGAUGUGAAAGCCCCCGGCUCAACCGGGGAGGGUCAUUGGAAACUGGGAAACUUGAGUGCAGAAGAGGAGAGUGGAAUUCCACGUGUAGCGGUGAAAUGCGUAGAGAUGUGGAGGAACACCAGUGGCGAAGGCGACUCUCUGGUCUGUAACUGACGCUGAGGAGC
Molecule: ribosomal RNA, 720 nt
Filed under: Bacillus altitudinis
Lineage: Bacteria; Bacillati; Bacillota; Bacilli; Caryophanales; Bacillaceae
Description: bacterial SSU rRNA
Rfam family: Bacterial small subunit ribosomal RNA
Source: RNAcentral